UUCAUAAAAAAAGUAACUUUCCCUCUCCCUACCAGAGGCAAAUUGUUAUUUUGUUAAAAUAAUUAUUUUAUUCCCCAAAGGACUGAUUGUCUGAAAAUCAAUUUGACACUAACAGUAGGGCUUAGCUAGGUGGCCCCUUUAUCAGCUUAUCUCAUCUAUCCAGGGACCAUUUCCUCUAACCAUGUCAUUAUGCACUUUUUAGAGAAAAUAGGCUCUCAAUGCCAGCCUCUGCAAAAUUCUUUUUAUCCCAUUAUAGUAGAAGGUGUGACCAUCUGAGAGCUAAACAGCUGAAGAAUGGGGAGCACCUUCCCAUUUUACUGGAGAUCCAGUCUUGUAAUAUUCAUAUAAGCAAGGAAUGAAGGGAGUCCAAACGCCAACAUUUAUCCUCUUUUCUGAUCAGAGGCAUGGGACUUCUGAUCUGACACACCUGUUUCUGUAUCCCAGUAAGAGUCCCAGACGCAGAUUCAACAUCAGAGUCUAACUUCUGAGAAAUCCACACUGGAAAGCACAUGAAUACGGAUGCAACACAUGAAUGUCGGUGCAUUUGCUUCAGAAGAGACCUCAGCUAAGUUCCUAAGUGUUGUAAUUAGAUAUCUACAUUAAAGUAGGAUUAAAACAGGUCUACUAAAGAAAUGAAGUUGUUUUUUUAUCCACUAACAGACAACAGAGGAAAAAUAAGAUUAAAUAAGUGCAGUGUUGUCCCUUUCCCAACCCCCCUUCCCCUCCCCCAUUUUUUUUAACUAUAUGCACCAAUGGGAUUGAAAUGUUGCUGAGCUAUUACUGUCAGUUCUCUGUCUUAGAAAAGGCAGGGGAAGAAUUAAAACAGGCUGCAAUCCAGCAGCUAGGCAGGGGUCUGUUACUCUAAGCACAGCUGGAGGGCUGCAGGGAACAGAUGCACAGUGUUACAAGUGCCAGCUCUGAUAGUUACAUGCUGUAGUACAGAAGAGCCCUUAGUCAGGUAAGUGCUUUCACAUGAGUUUUAGUUAUUACUAUUAGUGGAAGGCUGAGUAACAUUAAACCAACAUGAAAACUGACUAAAGGUUACAGAAUUUGUUAUUACAAAUCUUUUGCAGUUAGCUUGGAGUCCUCUUGGGGUGAGGGUGGUAGAGGUAAGAGCAAGUGUUGUAACAUGAGAUCUGACAUCAUCUGAUUUAUUCAUUUGUUUUUAUUGUUACCUACUUAAUUCAUCACUUAAAAAUGAAAUUAUUAUAACUAAAUCUUGGCCAUAGCCACAAAAAGAGUCAUCUUGGAAUGGACUAGAGAAACAGCACGCUCGUAUUUGAGUUUGUAGAAUCAUAGAAUAACAAAAUGGAAUCACAGAAUGGUUUGAGUUGGAAGGGAGCUUAAAGAUCAUCUAGU
Molecule: long non-coding RNA, 1359 nt
Filed under: Numida meleagris (helmeted guineafowl)
Lineage: Eukaryota; Metazoa; Chordata; Aves; Galliformes; Numididae
Description: lncRNA (ENSNMEG00000014856.1)
Source: RNAcentral